UAAGGAAUAUUGCUCAAUGGGAGAAAUCCUGAAGCAGCAACGCCGCGUGGAGGAUGAAGGGUCUAUGACUUGUAAACUCCUGUAAAGAAGGAAAAAAUUCCCAUUUGAUGGGAGAUGAUGGUACUUCUGGAGUAAGCCCCGGCUAACUACGUGCCAGCAGCCGCGGUAAUACGUAGGGGGCAAGCGUUGUCCGGAUUUACUGGGUGUAAAGGGUGCUCAGCCGGAUUUGUAAGUCAGAGGUGAAAUCUUACAGCUUAACUGUGAAACUGCCUUUGAUACUGCAAGCCUAGAGUAUGGAAGCGAGUGAUGGAAUAUCUGGUGUAGCAGUGAAAUGCGUAGAUAUCAGAUAGAACACCAAUGGCGAAGGCAGUCACUUGGUCCAUUACUGACGCUAAAGCACGAAAGCGUGGGUAGCAAACA
RNAcentral lists this ribosomal RNA (420 nucleotides) under uncultured bacterium. RNAcentral describes it as "bacterial SSU rRNA". It matches the Rfam family "Bacterial small subunit ribosomal RNA", at positions 355 to 774 of the family's 1533-position model. The record is from RNAcentral.